RNA transcript from Melanotaenia boesemani (Boeseman's rainbowfish), 3202 nucleotides. It is a transcript of the gene named junctional adhesion molecule 2a, with no coding region annotated. The transcript has 12 exons. The record is from RefSeq and is a predicted model, not a curated record. Lineage: Eukaryota; Metazoa; Chordata; Actinopteri; Atheriniformes; Melanotaeniidae.
UCUUGGACACAGCGCUGCGCUCUCGCCUGAAAAGCUCACCCCGCCCUCCCUCUCUCCCUCCCUCCCUCCGUCUCCACCUCAGCCUCAACCAGCGCUGAAACCACACGACAAGAACAGAGGACAUUCAUUCGCGUCCGUGACAGUGACCGAUGCACGCCAAUCCUUGCCCGACGUCUCCGCCAGGACCAAGCCUGCUGACCUGAGCCGGACUUGGCGCCCCGCUCAUUCAGCUUCGCCGGCUGUGAACAGAUCCGCGCCGGGGCAGUCCGGUCGCUUCCCCUCCACACACACACACACACACACACACAUACACCUCACUGGACAUUAGUUUAUUCCCUCGAUGCUGGAUGAAUUAUCGGAGAGUUGUGAAGAAGUGUGAGAAGAACGCUGAGGUCUGGGAUCUGCCUCCUCGCUCCGUCCUGGCAAGAAGACUCAGCCAGAGUUGUGGACGAUAAUGGAAGGGACGUCCCUGUAUCUUCCUAUUGUUAUUUUACUGAUGCAAUGUUCCCCCUCUGUUCCCGUUACCGUGUCAACCACCAAACCUAAAGUGGAGGUGGAGGAGUUCUCAGACGCAGUGCUGUCGUGCAUGUUCCACACAGAGGAAGACCAGAACCCACGCAUCGAGUGGAAGAAAAAGGGGAAAGAUGUCUCCUUUGUGUACUUCAACGGACGCUUCAAAGGUUCUUUUGAAGGUCGAGCGUCCAUCGAAGGGGCGACAGUGACGCUGCAAAAGGUGACCCAAGAGGACGCCGGGGAGUACCGUUGUGAGAUCAGCGCCUCUCAAGACACCGUCAGCCUGGGCGAGACCAACGUCACGCUCAAAGUCUUAGUGCCCCCACACAUCCCGUCCUGUGAAAUCCCCAGUUCAGCAGUGACAGGCACACUCGUGCAGCUGCGCUGUCUGGACGAGCAGAGCAUCCCACCUGCUACAUACUCCUGGUUCAAGGACAACCAUCCAAUCAGCCCGCCCCGGCAAGCCAACGCAACCUAUCUCAUCAACGCUCACACAGGAAUACUGGAGUUUAAAGCUGUAGUCAAAGAGGACACUGGCCGCUACAGCUGCCUGGCGUCUAAUGGAGUGGGAUCGCCCAAGAUGUGCGAAGGAAAGCACAUGGCAAUAGAGGAUGUCAACAUGACGGCGGUGGUGACAACAGUGGUGGUUGUCUGCCUGCUUAUCGUGGUAUGCGGGUGCGGGGGACUUGCCUUACACCGCAACAGCUUUUUCACCCCAGGACACAGAGGAAGGUCAUUUUGGAUCUCCCAGCAUCACGGUGCAGCCCACAUCAGCAGCCAAACCCUUCACAGAACUGAAGACACGUUGGUUUGCAGAUGCCGAGUUUCAAACUUGUUCAACCCACAUAUCACUGAGCUGUAGCCUGAAGCCAUCCACGAAGACAGUCAAAGUACGGAGUAAGGAUACUACCUCAGCCCUGCAGGAUGCUUCCAAGAUGCAGACUGGGGGGAAUUUGGCCCGACUUGGACGGACUCGCAUCAGCUGCAUUUGAAGUAGAAACUUUUUUAUGCUGAAAGUAUCUGAAAAUGUUUCAAGUGUUCAAGGUGAGGACACAGCUCUGAACAUGGGAUGCCUCUUUUAACUCCAGAGACGAGAGGAACCUGAUGAGAGGCCAAGCAGCAUGUAGAGGAGCACAUUAACAGUAAUAAUCCAGAUCCAUUGAGGCCUUUUAAUACACUCGUCUGCAGGAGAGAACAGCCAGCACAAAACCACACCUCCUGCUUUUAGAGAUGUUUACACCAAAUUUUAAGGACGCUACUCAGCAUCAUCUGCCACCCCCCUUGCCUCCCUCUUAGAUAUAGAUCAAACAAAAAAAAGCAUCAUUUCCUGCAAGCAGAUAGAUGCAGGACUCUCCCUCCCCUUCCCUGAGGAAUGGACAUGAAAUGACCCAUUAAUCCCUCGCUAACUGGUCACAACCACUUUGCAUUUUCACCCUCACUCCUUCUUCAUUUGUACAAUAUUACCUGGUUUGUAAAACUCUCACCUUUGUGCAAACAGCCUUCCUGUUAUUUAAUACAUUUUAUAUAUCUGUAUUUAUAUGGCUGUCUUAAUGGUCUGUUUUUCUGUAUUUUUUUAAAGAAAAUAAAAAAAUGUUUUAUAUUUGUGUCAUUUUGCAACAAACUGACUUGAGGCAACAUUUUCACAAAAUAAAGUGGCAGUGCUGUGACAAAUGAAGACUUUCUGGUUAAUAGAUAAGAAAAAAAGCUAAUAUCUGUAUGUUAAAUGUAAAGUAAGGAGCUUCCCUUGUCUUUGUCUUUCAGGUCCAAUGUCAACUACAUCCCACCGCCUCAAGAACCCCAGGAUUUCAAACACACACAGUCGUUCAUGCUCUGAGAAGCUGGACUCCCUUCGACUGACAUCACCCCUGUGAUAAGGUGCCAACACUGGACUCUGGAAUAUUUAAUUCUUUGUUAAAUUUUUCCUCGAUCUUCCGACAUGUCACUUCUCUCAAAUGAGUUGAAUCCAGUAAAGUUGCGAAGCUUCUUGCUCUUGUUUUGCUUCUGUGGUUCACCUUUCCCACUCACGUCUUCUGUUAAUGGGAUUAAGUACAGUUUAAUAGUACUCUGCUUCCCCCUGGUGGUCAGAUGUUGAUAUUGAUCUUUUCUGAAAAAAAAUGAAGAUUAACUGAUAAUCCAUCACAAUUUGUUUCUUCCUCCAGCAGGCCAAUUGUUUCACUUGAUUUAUUUGACCAAAGACUCAUUACUCUUUUUCUCCUCCUCAUUUUAUCUUCAGAGGGGAAGUCUCUGUAAAGCCAUAGUGAAAGCAUUUCAGUUUUCAGAAUACUCAAGACUUAAAUGCAGUUUACCUCAAGUCAGUAUUUUGUCUUCUGGAAGUCUCAGGCCCCGACACCACUGAAAACCCUGAUCUUAGUAACAACCAACCAGUCCAGCUAAUUCUACUGAGACCAACCCCAUUCCAUCCUGAUGUGCCUGCAUGGUCUUUUCUUUUUAUUAAUAUAUUCAUAUUAUAUAUAAAUAUAUUCUGUAUACCUUGUGCCUUUUUAAUUUGUCUGUCGUAUCGAUCUAUGGAUCACAACUUUUUGUAAAAAGGAUAAAAAAAAAAAAAACUUGCCUUACUUUUCUGUCUUGAUAUUCUCGUGCCACCGUUUGACUGUUUUUGACUGUGUGGAUGAUUUGUUCGGAUUUUUAUUUGAAUGAUGUAUCAGUAAUAAAAUGCUUUUUUAUUCAA